This 775-nucleotide ribosomal RNA is filed under the name uncultured bacterium. RNAcentral's name for it is "bacterial SSU rRNA". It matches the Rfam family "Bacterial small subunit ribosomal RNA", at positions 59 to 847 of the family's 1533-position model. The record is from RNAcentral.
CAGUCGACGGGGAUACGUUUUCGGAUGUAUUCUAGUGGCGCANNNGGUGAGUAACGCGUGAGCGACCUGACCCAAAGAGGGGGAUAACAUCGAGAAAUCGAUGCUAAUACCGCAUAAGACCACGGUAUCGCAUGGUACAGAGGUCAAAGGAGCAAUCCGCUUUGGGAGGGGCUCGCGUCCCAUUAGAUAGUAGGCGGGGUAACGGCCCACCUAGUCAACGAUGGGUAGCCGAGCUGAGAGGCUGAUCGGCCACACUGGAACUGAGACACGGUCCAGACUCCUACGGGAGGCAGCAGUGGGGAAUAUUGGGCAAUGGGCGAAAGCCUGACCCAGCAACGCCGCGUGAGGGAAGAAGGUUUUCGGAUUGUAAACCUCUGUCGCAGAUGACGAAGGAAGUGACGGUAAUCUGUGAGGAAGCCCCGGCUAACUACGUGCCAGCAGCCGCGGUAAUACGUAGGGGGCGAGCGUUGUCCGGAAUUACUGGGCGUAAAGGGUGCGUAGGCGGUUGAUUAAGUUGGAUGUGAAAUACCCGGGCUUAACCUGGGGGGUGCAUUCAAAACUGGUCAACUAGAGUUCAGGAGAGGGAAGCGGAAUUCCUAGUGUAGCGGUGAAAUGCGUAGAUAUUAGGAGGAACACCAGUGGCGAAGGCGGCUUUCUGGACUGACACUGACGCUGAGGCACGAAAGCGUGGGGAGCAAACAGGAUUAGAUACCCUGGUAGUCCACGCGGUAAACGAUGAAUACUAGGUGUAGGGGGUAUCAACUCCCUCUGUGCC